RNAcentral lists this long non-coding RNA (704 nucleotides) under Brassica napus (rape). RNAcentral describes it as "long non-coding RNA (BNAP_LNC025842)". The record is from RNAcentral. Lineage: Eukaryota; Viridiplantae; Streptophyta; Magnoliopsida; Brassicales; Brassicaceae.
GGAAUCAUUUUUUAAAAUUUUAACAGAAUAAUGAAUUUUAUUUAAAAAAAUGUGAAUGCCACAAGUCAUGCACAUAAUUGCCAAUUGACUUCUGUUUUAUUGUAUAAAAGAUAACCGGAGGAGAACCCAAACCGGAAAUGAAGGUUACUUUUAUUAUAGAUAACAGCAGCCUCCUUGAGAAAAAAAAAAAAAGAGACAGUAAAACGAAUGGAGUUGAUGUCAUGGAUUAUUGCGAUGGAAUUUAUCCAAUAUCUAAGAAUAUAUUAAUAUUUGAGAUAAGUGAAUGUCUUGCCACCAUCUCACGAGCUCAACACCCAAUUUAUCAUCGACAACUUGCAACGCACGUGAUUUAUUAUUUCAAAUAAAUAUUCACAUUUUGUGUGUUUAAUAAGACCGUAUUUUAGUGGUUAGGGCACUUUGAUUAAGUGGCUCUGCACUAAUAUGUUUUUAUCUUCCAACUUCCAACUUACCAAGAAUAUUUUGGUCACUCUCCUCAUGAUGUAUACGCAGCCAUCACUUACAUUCUAUGUAUUUUGAACUAGUUGAUCAUAUUUAAAAACGAAUAUAUUGAAAUUUCAAAUCUCAAUAUGUCGUGUAAUCCAAUAUAUAGUUAGUAUUAUAUAUUGUGUUCAAAAAAAAAGUUAGUAUUAUAUACCAAACAAUCACUAUUGACUUGUAUGAUAUAUGGAUAGAGCACUCAAACA